This is a non-coding RNA of Dipodomys ordii (Ord's kangaroo rat), 65 nucleotides long. The record is from Rfam. NCBI's taxonomy places the organism in Eukaryota, Metazoa, Chordata, Mammalia, Rodentia, Heteromyidae.
GGUGGCUCAGUGUUAGAGUGCUUGCCUUGCAUGCAUGAGGCCCUGGGUUCGAUUCCUCAGCACCA